GGUGGUCCACUUCUAUUGCUGGACAUUCAAUCAAUGAGUUGGAAUUGUGGGCCUCGGUGUACUGCUGAUGGGAUGCAUUAUGAUGGAGCUAUUUAUGAAGCUGCUGUUCAUAUUUUGCUAAAUGCAUUGCUUAUUGAAUCUCAUCAGAAGCUUGGGGCUACGUAGUUUCAGAUUUUUAUUAAAUUGUGCAACUCAAACUUGGAUGACAUGAAAGGCGUAUGCAACUAUUUUCGAGCUUUUGAUUCACACGAGAGGCUGAAUUUUCUUCUGAUAUUGCACCUUUGAUAUUUCUUUCAGGUUUUGCCUUUAGAUUAACUCAAGAGUAAAUUUUUAUACUGGUAUAUGCAUAUUGAAUUCAUUGUUUUAAUUUUGCUUUUCAUUUGAAUGAAU
Molecule: unclassified non-coding RNA, 390 nt
Filed under: Hevea brasiliensis (rubber tree)
Lineage: Eukaryota; Viridiplantae; Streptophyta; Magnoliopsida; Malpighiales; Euphorbiaceae
Source: RNAcentral